This 471-nucleotide ribosomal RNA is filed under the name uncultured Methanosaeta sp. Its description in RNAcentral is "bacterial SSU rRNA". It matches the Rfam family "Archaeal small subunit ribosomal RNA", at positions 867 to 1338 of the family's 1478-position model. Lineage: Archaea; Methanobacteriati; Methanobacteriota; Methanomicrobia; Methanotrichales; Methanotrichaceae. The record is from RNAcentral.
GACGAGGGAGCACCACAACGGGUGGAGCUUGCGGUUUAAUUGGAUUCAACGCCGGAAUCUUACCGGGACCGACAGCAAUAUGAAGGCCAGGCUGAAGACUUUGCCGGAUUAGCUGAGAGGUGGUGCAUGGCCGUCGUCAGUUCGUACUGUGAAGCAUCCUGUUAAGUCAGGCAACGAGCGAGACCCACGCCCACAGUUGCCAGCGUACUCUCUGGAGUGACGGGUACACUGUGGGGACCGCCGCUGCUAAAGCGGAGGAAGGAAUGGGCAACGGUAGGUCAGUAUGCCCCGAAUAUCCCGGGCUACACGCGAGCUACAAUGGUUGGUACAAUGGGUAUCUACCCCGAAAGGGGACGGGAAUCUCCUAAAACCAAUCUUAGUUCGGAUUGAGGGCUGCAACUCGCCCUCAUGAAGCUGGGAUCCGUAGUAAUCGCGUUUCAACAGAACGCGGUGAAUACGUCCCUGCUCCUU